RNAcentral lists this ribosomal RNA (254 nucleotides) under uncultured bacterium. RNAcentral describes it as "partial 16S ribosomal RNA". It matches the Rfam family "Bacterial small subunit ribosomal RNA", at positions 524 to 776 of the family's 1533-position model. The record is from RNAcentral.
UACGUAGGGGCCUAGCGUUGUCCGGAUUCAUUGGGCGUAAAGAGCUCGUAGGCGGUUCGGCAAGUCGGGUGUGAAAACUCCAGGCUCAACCUGGAGACGCCACCCGAUACUGCUGUGACUUGAGUCCGGUAGGGGACCACGGAAUUCCUGGUGUAGCGGUGAAAUGCGCAGAUAUCAGGAGGAACACCGGUGGCGAAGGCGGUGGUCUGGGCCGGCACUGACGCUGAGGAGCGAAAGCGUGGGGAGCGAACAGG